RNAcentral lists this long non-coding RNA (332 nucleotides) under Bos mutus (wild yak). RNAcentral's name for it is "lncRNA (ENSBMUG00000017109.1)". The record is from RNAcentral. Lineage: Eukaryota; Metazoa; Chordata; Mammalia; Artiodactyla; Bovidae.
AGGGUUAAGGGAAGCAGAAACGCCUGGAGUGGAUGAGCAGUGGAUCCACUUGGAGCAGCCUUGCUCGAAGAAUACCCCCAGGAUCUCUCCUUGCUGUGGCAUAUUUUAUCUUGCAUUGAGAGCACUACAGCAUGGGAACUUGUGUUAGUUUCCUCUGGCUGCAGAUUUCCACAAACUGGAUGGCUUAAGACCAUGGAAAUGGAUUCCUUCAGUUCUGGGGGCCAGAAGUCUGAGCCGGGCCUGAGGUGGGUGCGCCCCCUGGAGGCUCUUUGAGGGAGGGCACCCCUCAACCCUCAGUUUCUGGUGUCUGCUGGCGUUCCCCCGUGUGGCCC